Molecule: long non-coding RNA, 1268 nt
Filed under: Chrysemys picta bellii (western painted turtle)
Lineage: Eukaryota; Metazoa; Chordata; Testudines; Emydidae
Description: lncRNA (ENSCPBG00000004272.1)
Source: RNAcentral
UCAGCACUUCCACGCCAUCCCGGGCCUGACCCCCCCAGCGAUUCACACGGGCGCGGCACAAGACGGCAUUGCUUCCUCCUCAUUCCGAGCGGCCGGGUGGGUGGGGGCUUGGCAGCGAGCCGGUCCCCACCCUCGCCAGCUUCGGCAAACGCGGCCAGAGGCUCUGCACUGAUGCAAUUUCCAUGCCCCAAACUCUGGGCACACCCGAUGUUGGGUUUUAAAUCUCUCUCAUCAGGAAGAGCCGGGCGCUGGCCAGGACUUCCUCCCGCAAAGUCCCUGGUGUCGCGGUUCUGAAAUCAGGGCCGCAAGAGCCAGGAAAUGCGAAGUUCCCGGCGUCGGCUGCUUCUGUCACCGACCUGGCCUUCCCACACGCGGUUUGUGCCCCGUGCCAGUGGGAGGGGCAGCUUGGGCUGGGUUUUAACCGAUCGAAGCCUGGUCUGCAGUUAGCUCGGCGCCCAGGGCUGGGAGAAAUCCACGCCCGUGAGCGCCGCUGUUAAGCCGACCCAGCGAGGUCGAUGCACGAUUUCUUCCAUAAACCAGCUCCUGUUUCUCGCAAAAGGGAUGGGAGGAAGCAGUUGCAACAGGGGGCUACCCCAGUCUCCAACCUCCAGGCUUCCGAGGGACACCCAGACAGACAGACAGACAACCCGGGAUCUUACGAUCUGAAUGCAGCCUGUGCUGCUCCGGCUGGGACAGUUAAAGCCGUGCAACCUGUGUGUGUCGAAAAGCCCUUCGCGUCUCACGUGGGACGCCAUUCGCUGGAGAAACUCACGUCCGAUUGUUUAAAAACCGGCUGUCGUCACAGACUGACCCUGACCCGCUCUCCGGUUUAAAGGCCAGAAGGCAGGAGAGGAUCGGGGCAGGGGAAGCCUGGAGCCUGUUUUGCUGAGCUGGCGACAGGAAAAGGGGGGGAAGAACAAAGAAAAAUGCCAAGGGGUCCCAGGGGGUGAACAGCGCUCGGUACCACCGGGAGCCCGGACGCUGGGCUAGGUGGUCCCUAGCGGAGAGUCUCUCGGCCUCCUGGUUGGGUCCAGUCCUGCCCCCCGGCUGUCCUGCCGGCCCCGCUGCUCGGCACGCGCCGUCCUGUGGCCCGGAACGUACCCACGCACAGGAAACGCUGUCCCAAUGGCCCUUCGCCUCAUCGCAGCCAGUGCUGGGGCCCGGGCGUCGCUCAAGUCCCUGGCUUCGCUCUCUCCUGGGCCAGGGCCUCGCCCCCCACGACAGAGCAGGAAACUGACGCAAAGAGAGGGGGCAAGGACUUGCCCAUG